GACCUGCCCACUGAGGAAUUAAAUGGCCGCGGUAUUUUGACCGUGCAAAGGUAGCAUAAUAAUUAGUUUUUUAAUUGAAAGCUGGAAUGAAAGGUUGGAUGAGAAAAUAACUGUCUCUAUUUAGAUUAAUUAGAAUUUUAUUUUUAAGUAAAAAAGCUUAAAUAAAAAUAGAAGACGAGAAGACCCUAUAGAGUUUUAAUUUAAUUGGGGUGAUUGAAAAAUUUAAUAAACUUUUUUUGUAUUUAAACAUUAAUUUAUGAAUAGUUGAUCCUUUUUUUAAGAUUAAAAGUAAAAAUUACCUUAGGGAUAACAGCGUAAUUUUUUUAGAGAGUUCAAAUCGAAAAAAAAGAUUGCGACCUCGAUGUUGGAUUAAAAUUAAGUCUUGGUGUAGAAGCUAAG
This 399-nucleotide ribosomal RNA is filed under the name Rhyncogonus excavatus. Its description in RNAcentral is "partial 16S ribosomal RNA". It matches the Rfam family "Bacterial large subunit ribosomal RNA", at positions 1854 to 2566 of the family's 2925-position model. Lineage: Eukaryota; Metazoa; Arthropoda; Insecta; Coleoptera; Curculionidae. The record is from RNAcentral.